RNAcentral lists this long non-coding RNA (1721 nucleotides) under Rattus norvegicus (Norway rat). RNAcentral's name for it is "long non-coding RNA NONRATT033683". Lineage: Eukaryota; Metazoa; Chordata; Mammalia; Rodentia; Muridae. The record is from RNAcentral.
AUGAGUGUUGAACUUUGUUUUGGACUCUUAAGAAACCAGAUCAGGAGUUUUCUGAGCCACUGCACUUCUGUUGAACCUUCUGGCCUAUUGCGUCAUUUCCAGGACAGGCCUUGGCAGUGUGGCAGCUAUAUUAAACCAAUUUUGAGUUCCUCUGAACCAUGUAGGCGUCUGCUAUGUAACAGUAAUGGAGUUCUGUUGAGCCACACGCCUUCUGACAAAUCAUUAGCAACAGAAAAGGUCGAAGGUGUUGAAGAGAUCUCUGAUCCGAAUUGUCUGCUGCAUACCAAGCCUGGAGGCCAUUACAUCAAGUGCAAGAGGAGGCUUCACGAAGGACUCGCCAUGUCAUGGACAGAGAGAUUCAGCAUUACCUCUUAUUGGAACUCUAAUCUCAGACUCUCUCCCCAGUUCUUCUCUUUCUCCUGUUGACUAUCUUCUGCAUGUUUGUAAAGUUACCCAGAGCUGUGCGUUCAUGUCCUAGUAGUUCAAUAAAUGGCAAAUUUCCACAUAUCCUCUCUUCUAGAUCUUGAAUCCUAUUCAGAAAAGCAUUAGGAUUGCUUCUUACACCCGGAGCAUCUCUGCCUUUCUCAGUCACCCUCUGUGCCUCCACUGUUAGAAAUGAGGUCAUCUCAGCAUAUGAUGCAACUGAGAAAUGGUUGAGCUAUGAAAUUCAAGCCUGUUUCAUCUAGAUCUAACACCUAGCACCCACACAAAAUUGCUAUCUAGACAGUGGCACAUGAGCCAUUGGGUUGCUGGUCUAAAUACUUCAGUGAACGUGUCUAGAUCUGCUGGUAGUGAAUGGUACCCUGGUUCAUGGCCAAAUAAAGCACAUUAAAUCAGUGUGAUAUUUGGGAUGUUGGUAUAGUGUAAUAUGUUACUCCAAAAUCCAUUUUGAUCAGAAGUGCAUGGUGUUCAUGAGCCUGUGGGAUACCAGUCUGGGCUCCACUCAGUAUGUCUUCCAGUCAUCUGAAUUAAAGGACCACUGUGAACAGCUUCUGUGAUUGUACAUCUAGUCUCUCGUCCACUGUGAUCUUGUUAGAAUAGAAAUAAAGGUCCAUCCUAGUUCGGCAGGUCAAUCACCUGGCUAAAAGACCGCGUUGAAGAAGGUCAUGCUAAAGAGGUAGGCAGAAUAAUCAUUUCUUUAAUGGGAUAAUUUAAUUUUCCUUCCCAUAAACCCUGCCCCUACCAGAGUAGCUUACUGGGCCAUAGCUGUAGGGCGUUGUAAGUCUGCAAGCUUUUCUAAAUGAUUCAGGAAAGUGCAACUUCUCCUUUACUCUUAUCUCUUGUCUAAGCAUUAUUUUGCUAAUGCUCUGAGUUGCCCCAACAUUUUGGGCUUCCUUACUCUUUUUCUAAAACACCCCUCUCUGCCUUACGCCAAAUGUCCACCAUGUGUCUGACCUCCAUGCUGGCCUGAACAGUAUAACUUCGUCCCCUUUCUCCCCUUCACUCUCCUCCACAGGUAGUUCUGAAACUUAGAGCUUGCCUAUCCUGGAGUUUUUCUUUUAAGCACUAAUAAAAUUUACCACCCACUUCUAUUUCUGUCCAUUCUUAAGUUUUUUUAAUUAAGAAUCCCAAGACGGGGGUGCUGGAGAGAUGGCUCAGAGGUUAAGAGCACUGUCUGCUCUUCCAGAGGUCCUGAAUUCAAUCCCCAGCAACCACAUGGUGGCUCACAACCAUCUGUAAUGGGAUUCAAUGCUCUGUUCUGGUGUGUCAGUGACAGGAUG